This 459-nucleotide ribosomal RNA is filed under the name Aspergillus flavus. Its description in RNAcentral is "eukaryotic LSU rRNA". The stretch from base 143 to 296 matches the Rfam family "5.8S ribosomal RNA". The record is from RNAcentral. Lineage: Eukaryota; Fungi; Ascomycota; Eurotiomycetes; Eurotiales; Aspergillaceae.
GUUUACUGUACCUUAGUUGCUUCGGCGGGCCCGCCAUUCAUGGCCGCCGGGGGCUCUCAGCCCCGGGCCCGCGCCCGCCGGAGACACCACGAACUCUGUCUGAUCUAGUGAAGUCUGAGUUGAUUGUAUCGCAAUCAGUUAAAACUUUCAACAAUGGAUCUCUUGGUUCCGGCAUCGAUGAAGAACGCAGCGAAAUGCGAUAACUAGUGUGAAUUGCAGAAUUCCGUGAAUCAUCGAGUCUUUGAACGCACAUUGCGCCCCCUGGUAUUCCGGGGGGCAUGCCUGUCCGAGCGUCAUUGCUGCCCAUCAAGCACGGCUUGUGUGUUGGGUCGUCGUCCCCUCUCCGGGGGGGACGGGCCCCAAAGGCAGCGGCGGCACCGCGUCCGAUCCUCGAGCGUAUGGGGCUUUGUCACCCGCUCUGUAGGCCCGGCCGGCGCUUGCCGAACGCAAAUCAAUCUU